RNAcentral lists this ribosomal RNA (266 nucleotides) under Eustroma reticulatum. RNAcentral's name for it is "partial 28S ribosomal RNA". It matches the Rfam family "Eukaryotic large subunit ribosomal RNA", at positions 107 to 354 of the family's 3401-position model. Lineage: Eukaryota; Metazoa; Arthropoda; Insecta; Lepidoptera; Geometridae. The record is from RNAcentral. RNAcentral also lists the same sequence under 1 other name.
GCCCAGCACUGAAUCCCGCCGUUGUAACGGCGGCGGGAGAUGUGGUGUUCGGGAGGUUCCGCUUUCUUGUCGUCGUCCACUCCUGUCCAAGUUCGUCUUGAACGGGGCCCAUUUCCCACAGAGGGUGCCAGGCCCGUAGCGACGGAGGACGGCGGCGAGAGGGACUCUCCUCAGAGUCGGGUUGCUUGAGAGUGCAGCCCUAAGUGGGUGGUAAACUCCAUCUAAGGCUAAAUAUUACCGCGAGACCGAUAGCGAACAAGUACCGU